Molecule: ribosomal RNA, 328 nt
Filed under: uncultured Chitinivorax sp.
Lineage: Bacteria; Pseudomonadati; Pseudomonadota; Betaproteobacteria
Description: bacterial SSU rRNA
Rfam family: Bacterial small subunit ribosomal RNA
Source: RNAcentral
CACUGAGCUCAUGCACGAAAGCGUGGGGAGCAAACAGGAUAGAUACCCUGGUAGUCCACGCCCUAACGAUGUCUACUAGUUGUUGGGGAGGGAGACCUCCUUGGUGACGCAGCUAACGCGUGAAGUAGACCGCCUGGGGAGUACGGUCGCAAGAUUAAAACUCAAAGGAAUUGACGGGGGCCCGCACAAGCGGUGGAUUAUGUGGAUUAAUUCGAUGCAACGCGAAAAACCUUACCUGGCCUUGACAUGCCACUAACGAAGCAGAGAUGCAUCAGGUGCUCGAAAGAGAAAGUGGACACAGGUGCUGCAUGGCUGUCGUCAGCUCGUG